UACGUAGGGGGCUAGCGUUGUCCGGAAUCAUUGGGCGUAAAGAGCGUGUAGGCGGCCCGGUAAGUCCGCUGUGAAAGUCGGGGGCUCAACCUUUGAAAGCCGGUGGAUACUGUGAGGCUAGAGUACGGAAGAGGCGAGUGGAAUUCCUGGUGUAGCGGUGGAAUGCGCAGAUAUCAGGAGGAACACCAAUAGCGAAGGCAGCUCGCUGGGACGUUACUGACACUGAGGCGCGAAAGCGUGGGGAGCGAACAGG
Molecule: ribosomal RNA, 253 nt
Filed under: uncultured bacterium
Lineage: Bacteria
Description: partial 16S ribosomal RNA
Rfam family: Bacterial small subunit ribosomal RNA
Source: RNAcentral